UCCGGAUCACAGAGACACUGGAUGUAACCCAGUGACCUCUGCAGCAGCCGUUUGCUGCUGGGAGUGCUCCUCCAGUAAUUGCCCUUUCUGAGGGGGAAUCCCACCCAUGUCAGAGGAAGGAAACCCAUAGCUUUAAAAUGCCACUUGAUCAGCUUUCCUGUUCACAUGUGCUGUCAAUCUGUCUUUGUCUUUCAGACUCAGUGGCUUCUGAGAGAAAUCUUUCACCCAUGCUUACUGUGAUCACCUCAAAACUUUGUUCCUUUAGUGAACUGAAUCCAUCAGGCUCCUUAUUCAAGGGACAUGGGAGAUGCAGUUCAUAGGAGAAACAGUCAUGGCCAUGCACAGGACUUCCUCUAUCAGACAGCUGACAGCACCUGAAGGGACACAUGCACCAAGCUGGUGGUGUUUAUUACACAGCUGUACACAAAGACUGAGUAGGAGUAAUGACUUUUCUCUGCAGAAAGAUACAGAACAUGCACUGUGUAAGCUGGAUGACAUCAAAUUAUGAUCUCAUGAGCAGGUCUUUGUUUCUCUGUGAGCCCUGGCUUAUCUUGUCUCCAACUGUUGGAGGUUCUGUGAGGAAGCCUCAGUAUUCUCUGCCAGGAUAAGACAAUGACAACGUAUGUUUUUUGCUGGAGCAGUCUUCACCAUUUGCCCCACACAGUACCUCUUCCUGUGAUAGUCUCCUGGCCUAAGGCAG
This is a long non-coding RNA of Melopsittacus undulatus (budgerigar), 700 nucleotides long. RefSeq lists it as uncharacterized. The record is from RefSeq and is a predicted model, not a curated record. Lineage: Eukaryota; Metazoa; Chordata; Aves; Psittaciformes; Psittaculidae. The transcript is spliced from 3 exons.